GGGGGUGAACUAGCUUCGACGGGAGAGGCUGAGGGCUUGUGGCAGGCGGUGGCGCUCAACCACCUUAAAAUGAGCAAAGGCAUAAAUGCCAACAACCACCAACCUGCUCUGGCUUACGCCGCCUAAGGCGAUUUAGUUAGAGUAGUUGGGCCAUAGCGUGCCCAACCGUCCGCCCAAUUCGUCACCGUCCGGGUUGAUCGGCGGGCGUCAUUAAAGACGGUGUGCGGUUCCCAUGACGCCGAUACGUGGGGCCAAAGAUGACAUCGGCUGGCUGGUGCUGUACCGUGUUGACCGGGCGACCAUCAGCGAGAGCGAAAUAGUCAACUAAGCCUGUAGAAGCAUGUCAUCGAAUCUUUCGGACCCGGAUGGCAGUGUCCGGCACCUCCA
RNAcentral lists this transfer-messenger RNA (387 nucleotides) under Chloroflexota bacterium. RNAcentral's name for it is "Chloroflexi bacterium transfer-messenger RNA". It matches the Rfam family "transfer-messenger RNA". From Rfam's summary of the family: Bacterial tmRNA, also known as 10Sa RNA or SsrA, is named for its dual tRNA and mRNA-like properties. Its role is to liberate the mRNA from a stalled ribosome. Lineage: Bacteria; Bacillati; Chloroflexota. The record is from RNAcentral.